This 377-nucleotide ribosomal RNA is filed under the name uncultured bacterium. RNAcentral describes it as "bacterial SSU rRNA". It matches the Rfam family "Bacterial small subunit ribosomal RNA", at positions 790 to 1167 of the family's 1533-position model. The record is from RNAcentral.
GUAGUCCACGCCGUAAACGAUGAACACUUGGUGUUAGAGGUAUUGACCCCUCUAGUGCCGAAGCCAACGCGUUAAGUGUUCCGCCUGGGAAGUACGGUCGCAAGAUUAAAACUCAAAGAAAUUGACGGGGGCCCGCACAAGCGGUGGAGCAUGUGGUUCAAUUCGAUGCAACGCGAAAAACCUUACCUGGGUUUGAAGUGCUAGUGAAUGCGGUAGAGAUAUCGCAGGCCUUCGGGACACUAGUAUCAGGUGCUGCAUGGCUGUCGUCAGCUCGUGUCGUGAGAUGUCGGGUUAAGUCCCAUAACGAGCGCAACCCUUGUCUUUAGUUGCCAGCAUUCAGUUGGGCACUCUAAAGAGACUGCCGACGUUAAGUCGGA